Molecule: unclassified non-coding RNA, 258 nt
Filed under: Polyschema sclerotigenum
Lineage: Eukaryota; Fungi; Ascomycota; Dothideomycetes; Pleosporales; Latoruaceae
Description: partial internal transcribed spacer region
Rfam family: Eukaryotic small subunit ribosomal RNA (bases 1-46)
Source: RNAcentral
AAGUCGUAACAAGGGUUCCGUAGGUGAACCUGCGGAAGGAUCAUUACCAUGGCGUGAGAAGGUGAUGGACAUACUGGUAACCCCAGGAGUUAAUCCCUUCACGCUCUUCUACCCUUGUCUAUUUGUACCCUUUGUCGUUCCCUCGGCGGGUCUUGAACCUGCCGGCGGCAACUUUCAAAACCUCUUGCAGUAGUAUCUAAUUCUUCUGAUUCAAAUAUCAAAUUAUUACAACUUUCAACAAUGGAUCUCUUGGUUCUG